Molecule: long non-coding RNA, 1529 nt
Filed under: Equus caballus (horse)
Lineage: Eukaryota; Metazoa; Chordata; Mammalia; Perissodactyla; Equidae
Description: lncRNA (ENSECAG00000050178.1)
Source: RNAcentral
AGGAGUUGCCUGAUAGGUUGGAGAAAGCACAAGGAAGCCAGGGCUGCUGGAACAGAGUGAAUGAGGCGAUCAUGUAGAGUCUUAUAAGCCAUUGCAAAGACUUUGGCUUUGACUUUGAGGUAGAUGAGAAGCUAUUAAGAAAGUUUGAGCAGAAGGAUGACAUGAUCUGAUUUUUCAUUUUAACCAAAGCAACUCUGUAUGCUGUGUUGAAAAUAAGCUACAAUGGGACUUGCAUUGCAGGAAAACCAGUUAGGAGGCUGCUGUAAUAAUCCAGGUGAGAGAUGAUGGUGGCUCGGACCAUGGUGGUAGUAAGGGAGGUGCUGAGAAGAGGUUAGAAUCUAGUUAUAUUUUGGAGGAGAUUGAACAGAAUUUACUGAUAAAUUGGAUGUGAAGUAUUUGAGAAAGGGAGGAAUCAAAGGUGACACCAAGGUUCUGGGCCUGAGCAACUGGAAGAAUGGAGAUGCAGUUUACUAACAUAGUGAGGACUACAGGAGUAGCAGGUUUCAGCAGUGGGCACAGGUGGAGAAGCUGACGUUAUGCUGCCAACAUGAUGCUGUUGAUCACAGAGUUGGAAAGAGUUGCUACCAAUUGGUCCCUGUGAACGAGUGUGAGCUGUCUCCAUCACACCACUGCAGGAAACGAUGACAAACAACAAAAACAAAAAGAGUAUCCAGUGGAGGACUCUGAGGCCCUAGAGGAUGAUGAAGCCAGUAAAUGCAAGGAAGCUGGAUUCCUGAGUCCCCAUUUGGAGGAGAGCUGCCCUGGAGAGCUGCCAGGACCAUGUGAAUUAGACUUUGCACAAAGGAGAAAUAAGCUUUUACUGUGUUAAGUCACUGAGAUUUGGAGAUUAUUUGUUAUAGCUACAGCUGUUAGCCUACCCUGACUAACACAGUGAUCUUUGAGGACCUCCUUACUUACCAUAGCGACUUGUACAUAGGGGGGUACUUAGUAAAUGUUUGUUGAUUAAGUUAAUUUUGUCCUAUUUUAAUCUGUCUUUAUUCAUAAUUGUCAGACGGUAAUGUUUUUAGGCAUAGGACUGAGGUUUCAACUCAAGUCCCAACCCUUGUUUUAUGAAACAUUAGAGAGUUCUAAUAAUCUUAGAUGACCUUAGUAUUUUCAAAAUAAAAUUGGUUUUAAUUACUGUUUUAAAAAAUAUGCCCUAUAAUACCUUUAGGACCAAGGUGGGUGGGAUUGGAAAUAGGGUACCCUAUUGCCCAAAAGAUUGGGAGUUUCUGCCUUAGAAUAUGGAUAUGAAUUCAAUGUUUUCACAAUGUUUCAAAGACCUUAAAUGAUUUAGACUCUACUCUAGACUAGACCAUCCUUCUGCUUCCAGAAGGAACUGUUUUUUACCCUCAUAGACACAAUAGCUGUUUAUACCUUAUAAAAUAACAACAGCAAGCCUCCCGAGGUGCGGUUUCCCUUAGGUAUUGUAUUCUAGGGUCUUAGAACUUUCAUAUUCCGGAAACUCUUCUUUGGGGAGGAUCAAAUAAAAUAUUAUAUGUUAAAGGCCUUUGAAAACAUUAAAGUGC